RNAcentral lists this small RNA (107 nucleotides) under uncultured Eubacterium sp. RNAcentral's name for it is "Ribosomal protein L10 leader". It matches the Rfam family "Ribosomal protein L10 leader". From Rfam's summary of the family: This family is a putative r-protein leader autoregulatory structure found in B. subtilis and other low-GC Gram-positive bacteria. It is located in the 5' untranslated regions of mRNAs encoding ribosomal proteins L10 and L12 (rplJ-rplL). A Rho-independent transcription terminator structure that is probably involved in regulation is included at the 3' end. Lineage: Bacteria; Bacillati; Bacillota; Clostridia; Eubacteriales; Eubacteriaceae. The record is from RNAcentral.
UAGGAAAAUAAUCACCGUAGACAGCGGGUGCGUAAAGCUUAAUUUCCCGCCGAGGUACGAUAUAUAGAAAGAUCGGCCCCGUCUGUUUACGACGGGGUUUACUAUAU